GGAGGGGCCGGUGUCGGGAGGGUCCCAGGGACUGGGAGGCCCGUCGGGGCUGGGCUCAGGGGCCGAGACCUAGCUGGGCUUGGGGCGGGGCCGAGACGGAGCGAGGGGUCCCGGGUGUGGGAAACGGGAAGGGGUUUGAGGAGGGGAUCGGAAUGUGGCUCAAGUUCGGGAGGCGUUACCUGCGGAGGGUUUGAGGCAAGCCCAGGAGCGAGCCCACGGUCUGCUGACGCGGGGCCAGGGGCGGGCCCCAGAAUCCGGAGCUUCGGGCGGGGCGGAGUCCGAGUUUCGGGCCCGGGAGGCGGGGCCAGUUAGGGCGAGGGUCCCUGGGAUCGACGGGUCAGGUCUUGGGCUAACGUAGGCACUCUCGCAGUUCCUCCGCCUUCAGGAAGGUCUUUUUAGCAGGGGCCUUACGGGUGCGCGCUUCGGUCCUGGAGGCCUUAUCCUAACCUCUUCUCCAUCAGCGCCACCCGUCUGGGGCCUGAAACGAGGGAGCUUUCCCUCUGUCCCCCAGCCUUUGGACUGUCACCAAACAAGCCAUUCGUUCAUCAAAUACUUUUUAAGCGCCUACCAUGUGCCUGACAAGGGAGAUGUAACGGUGAGAAAAACUAGGUGUGGUCCAGGCCCUCCAGGGGCUCAGGGGCUCGUGGAAGAAGUGGACAUUGAAGUACUUAUCACACAAAUGAGGAUAAAAGUACGAUAGCGAUAUCUACCACGAAGCUGUUGUUCCACACCAGAAGCAAAUGAGCGCAAGAUCUGACAAAGAAAAAGAAAGGUUCAUCUUUUAUUUCUCCAAACACUUUCAUUUAAAUCAAGAGGAUGGGAUGUGGUUAUUGCUGUGUUUUUAGACAGAAUCAACGGUUUCUGGCUCUGAGAUGUUGCAUACACCCUCUCAGUCCCUGUAUCCUGAGAUGGAGUCACCUGAGGAUCCACAGCAAGUCCUAACCAGGGAUGGGUCUGGGUGAUUAAGGAAGGUUGGCUUCAGAACUGGGCCAGGGGCACUGCUUUGCUUUUGCUGUUUUGAUCAGCCCUCUGCCUGCAGGAGACAAGGAAAACCAAUGAGAACAGCCCAGUAAAGGCGCCAUUCCCC
This 1087-nucleotide long non-coding RNA is filed under the name Pan troglodytes (chimpanzee). RNAcentral's name for it is "long non-coding RNA NONPTRT016960". The record is from RNAcentral. Lineage: Eukaryota; Metazoa; Chordata; Mammalia; Primates; Hominidae.